This 246-nucleotide ribosomal RNA is filed under the name Aeromonas sp. Its description in RNAcentral is "partial 16S rRNA". Lineage: Bacteria; Pseudomonadati; Pseudomonadota; Gammaproteobacteria; Aeromonadales; Aeromonadaceae. The record is from RNAcentral.
GGCCGCCUUCGCCACCGGUGUUCCUCCAGAUCUCUACGCAUUUCACCGCUACACCUGUUAUUCUACCCCCCUCUACCUUACUCUAGAUGGACAGUUUUAAAUGCAAUUCCCAGGUUGAGCCCGGGGAUUUCACAUCUGACUUAUCCAACCGCCUGCGUGCGCUUUACACCCAGUAAUUCCGAUUAACGCUUGCACCCUCCGUAUUACCGCGGCUGCUGGCACGGAGUUAGCCGGUGCUUCUUCUGC